This 253-nucleotide ribosomal RNA is filed under the name uncultured bacterium. RNAcentral describes it as "partial 16S ribosomal RNA". It matches the Rfam family "Bacterial small subunit ribosomal RNA", at positions 524 to 776 of the family's 1533-position model. The record is from RNAcentral.
AACGUAGGUGGCGAGCGUUAUCCGGAAUUACUGGGCGUAAAGCGUGCGCAGGCGGUUUUGUAAGUUUGUCGUGAAAGCCCCGGGCUCAACCUGGGAAUUGCGAUGAAGACUGCAAGGCUUGAAUCUGGCAGAGGGGGGUAGAAUUCCACGUGUAGCAGUGAAAUGCGUAGAGAUGUGGAAGAACACCGAUGGCGAAGGCAGCCCCCUGGGUCAAGAUUGACGCUCAUGCACGAAAGCGUGGGGAGCAAACAGG